AGAGUUUGAUCCUGGCUCAGAACGAACGCUGGCGGCGUGCCUAAUACAUGCAAGUCGAACGAGAAAGUGGAGCAAUCCAUGAGUAAAGUGGCAGACGGGUGAGUAAUACAUAGGUAACCUACCCUCAAGAUGAGAAUAACCUUCCGAAAGGAGGGCUAAUACUGAAUGAGACCACAGGUGCUUCGGCACCAGGGGUCAAA
This 200-nucleotide ribosomal RNA is filed under the name uncultured bacterium. RNAcentral's name for it is "partial 16S ribosomal RNA". It matches the Rfam family "Bacterial small subunit ribosomal RNA", at positions 8 to 205 of the family's 1533-position model. The record is from RNAcentral.